Molecule: ribosomal RNA, 118 nt
Organism: Lates calcarifer (barramundi perch)
Lineage: Eukaryota; Metazoa; Chordata; Actinopteri; Centropomidae
Source: Ensembl
GCUUACGGCCACACCACCUGAGCGCGCCCGAUCUCGUCUGAUCUCGGAAGCUAAGCAGGGUCGGGCCUGGUUAGUACUUGGAUGGGAGACCGCCUGGGAAUACCAGGUGCCGUAAGCU